AUGAAUACUCGGAUGCUUGAGCUGUUUCUACAGCUGCCUCCUGUGGAGCCACCUCUGCCACACAGAUCUGCAUGCCCGCACUUGAUGCAGACAAGGCCGUCAGCUCGCCGGCAGGCGGUGCUCCAAGGGUAUGUCGCUAUCGUUCACAUCCUCCUCCAGCACAGUCCUGCAUCUCCACCGGUAGCUGCAAAAGGAAAACCACGCCGAGAUGAGAUCUACAAUAAUGCCCAGAAACUAACACAAAAACCAAACCGAUCCGCAUGUGCUAAUCGGUUGCAUCAAGAACUCCAUCUUCGCGAGUAG
RNAcentral lists this ribosomal RNA (303 nucleotides) under Triticum aestivum (bread wheat). RNAcentral's name for it is "partial small subunit ribosomal RNA". Lineage: Eukaryota; Viridiplantae; Streptophyta; Magnoliopsida; Poales; Poaceae. The record is from RNAcentral.